RNAcentral lists this ribosomal RNA (975 nucleotides) under Diplostomidae sp. VVT-2015. RNAcentral describes it as "eukaryotic LSU rRNA". It matches the Rfam family "Eukaryotic large subunit ribosomal RNA", at positions 236 to 827 of the family's 3401-position model. The record is from RNAcentral. Lineage: Eukaryota; Metazoa; Platyhelminthes; Trematoda; Diplostomida; Diplostomidae.
GACAGUUUUGCCCUGAGUAGACCUUGGAGUCGGGUUGUUUGUGAAUGCAGCCCAAAGCGGGUGGUAAACUCCAUCCAAGGCUAAAUACUAGCACGAGUCCGAUAGCGAACAAGUACCGUGAGGGAAAGUUGAAAAGUACUUUGAAGAGAGAGUAAACAGUGCGUGAAACCGCUCAGAGGUAAACGGGUGGAGUUGAACUGUAAGCUCCGGGGAUUCAGCUGGUGAGUGUGUCGUGGGCUUGGUCAUUUUCGGCCGGCUUUCAGAGUCCGCUUAGCUGCGGGUCCUUGCUUCUUCGGGGGUAGGGAUGUGCGUUGCGCUUAACAAGUGCUGUGCGCUCUGGAGGUUGCCGGGCUGGCUCGCCAGUGCACUUCCUCGGAGUGGUCACCACGACCGGCGUUGUUGUCUUGCUGCUGUAGUCGAACCGAUCAGGUUUGGUCCUUGUGGCCGGGCUUGGUCGGGAUGGCAGGUAGCUCAUUGGUUGGCUUGUCCAGUCUUUGGGUGUAAUCAGCUGGCUGCAGCAGUUUUGUGCAAUGCGUCGGAGACGGCGGCUUUAGGUAUGUGCUUGUGUGCCGCUUUCUGGCAGCGUGUGGUUUGGCUGACGUGUUUACCUGCUUCGGUGGGUCCGUUGGUAGCCUCGUGCUGUUCGGAGGGUGGUUGCACUUGUGAUAUCAAUGAUGGGCCUACAGUCUGUGGUGUAGCGGCAAACGAUCCACCUGACCCGUCUUGAAACACGGACCAAGGAGUUUAACAUGUACGCGAGUCAUUGGGCGUUACGAAACCCAGAGGCGCAGUGAAAGUGAAGGUUCGGCUUGUCCGGGCUGAGGUGAGAUCCUGUGGCUUCUCGUGCGAGGUACCACCAAGCAAGUGAGCCAUAGGCGCAUCACCAGCCCGUCUCAUGGUGUGGUCAUGCAGCCUUGUGUUGUGUGCGUCACCGGGGCGGAGCUUGAGCGCACAUGUUGAGACCCGAAAGAUGGU